RNAcentral lists this ribosomal RNA (523 nucleotides) under uncultured bacterium. RNAcentral describes it as "bacterial SSU rRNA". It matches the Rfam family "Bacterial small subunit ribosomal RNA", at positions 777 to 1297 of the family's 1533-position model. The record is from RNAcentral.
AAUAGAUACCCAGGUAGUCCACGCCGUAAACAAUGAGUGCUAAGUGUUAGAGGGUUUCCGCCCUUUAGUGCUGCAGCUAACGCAUUAAGCACUCCGCCUGGGGAGUACGGCCGCAAGGCUGAAACUCAAAGGAAUUGACGGGGGCCCGCACAAGCGGUGGAGCAUGUGGUUUAAUUCGAAGCAACGCGAAGAACCUUACCAGGUCUUGACAUCCUCUGCCAACCCUAGAGAUAGGGUGUUCCCCUUCGGGGGGACAGAGUGACAGGUGGUGCAUGGUUGUCGUCAGCUCGUGUCGUGAGAUGUUGGGUUAAGUCCCGCAACGAGCGCAACCCUUGAUCUUAGUUGCCAGCAUUUAGUUGGGCACUCUAAGGUGACUGCCGGUGACAAACCGGAGGAAGGUGGGGAUGACGUCAAAUCAUCAUGCCCCUUAUGACCUGGGCUACACACGUGCUACAAUGGAUGGUACAAAGAGCUGCGAACCCGCGAGGGUAAGCCAAUCUCAUAAAGCCAUUCUCAGUUCGGA